RNAcentral lists this long non-coding RNA (372 nucleotides) under Brassica napus (rape). RNAcentral's name for it is "long non-coding RNA (BNAP_LNC004056)". The record is from RNAcentral. Lineage: Eukaryota; Viridiplantae; Streptophyta; Magnoliopsida; Brassicales; Brassicaceae.
GGGAGGGGGGGGGGAGACUUUGUAUAUAGUAUCAUAAAAAUAUCGUAACGAAACCAAAUCUAUGUUGUUGUGUUUUAAAAGGAACGAUAGGGCUUUUUCCAAAUCAAAGAAGAAAAUUACGAUCGCAAGUUUGAAGUCGUCAUGAUAUUAAUUGUCAUUGAAGAAUUUAAAUAGAAAUCUAUGAAGUGACAAGAAAGAGAAAAAUAGAAAGCUAAGAAAGAGACAACGAAAAGUAGGUUAAGAAGAGUGUUGACCAGAGGGACUGUGGAUUUACCAACAAGUGGGACAAACUUUCUCUUGCCUCCAAAACUGACACAACAGUAUCUUAACUCGUUCUCUCAUCACGAAUCACAUUCAUAUGACACUCACUCA